Molecule: long non-coding RNA, 503 nt
Organism: Oncorhynchus tshawytscha (Chinook salmon)
Lineage: Eukaryota; Metazoa; Chordata; Actinopteri; Salmoniformes; Salmonidae
Source: Ensembl
AGGACACAACGUUUUGGAACGUUCAGAAAUAAAUAUGUUAUGUAGAACAAGCAUGGCAUUUCUAUCUGCAACGUUCGACAACGUUUGGCAACCGAACGUGGCACUGUUCAUACAAAAAUGAUUAAUUUGAGCCAUCUAGCGACGAAGAGAGGAGUGUUUCUGGCGUACGUCCUAGAUCCUUCUAUCAAGAGGAGAAACCAACCAGUUGGGGUGAGGGUUAGAUAUUCUUCCUCCAGCAUAUUUCUUUACCCUUCUGAGGUGAAAAAUAAUUCCUCAGCCUCAUACCUUCCUCAUGAUUUGUUUUACUUAAAGGCUGUUAGAGUUAUUUAUAUAUCAUAACAAGUAUUAAAAUAGCUCAGUGAGGGGUGAGAGACUCACCAAGUAAAACAAGGAGCUUGGCCAUCAUAAACUCCCAUUUAGAAGCAGUCUGCAAUCCUGUGUCUCAACCUGGUCUCAGAGCAUUCCAUAUUAUUCUGUACGUAAAUCUGAGACACUCCAUUUAG